AUGGCGCAGUCGCCGGCAAGCUCCGCCGUCGCCGCGCCGGCUCCAUGCGAAGGGGAGCGGAAGGCGCCGGCGAUCAACGGGGAGCUGUGGCACGCCUGCGCCGGCCCGCUGGUGUCGCUGCCGCCGGUGGGCAGCCUCGUCGUCUACUUCCCCCAAGGCCACAGUGAGCAGGUUGCAGCUUCUAUGCAAAAGGAUGUGGAAGCUCACGUACCGAGCUACCCCAAUCUUCCCUCAAAGUUGAUAUGUCUUCUGCACAGCGUCACUUUGCAAGCAGACCCGGAUACUGAUGAGGUGUACGCACAGAUGACUCUUCAGCCAGUGAAUACAUAUGCAAAAGAGGCGUUGCAGCUGUCAGAGCUUGCGCUAAGACAAGCGAGGCCACAGAUGGAGUUCUUCUGCAAGACGCUCACCGCGAGCGAUACGAGCACACACGGAGGCUUCUCCGUGCCUCGCCGUGCAGCGGAGAAGAUAUUCCCUUCCCUGGAUUUCUCGUUGCAGCCUCCGUGCCAAGAGCUGCAGGCCAGGGAUAUACAUGACAAUGUGUGGACAUUCCGUCAUAUAUUUCGGGGUCAGCCCAAAAGACAUUUACUUACUACUGGUUGGAGCCUCUUUGUGAGUGGCAAGAAGCUAUUUGCUGGUGAUUCUGUCAUAUUCGUUAGAGAUGAAAAGCAGCAACUUCUACUGGGAAUCAGGCGCGCUAACCGACAGCCCACGAACAUAUCGUCUUCGGUACUUUCAAGCGACAGUAUGCACAUAGGGGUCCUUGCCGCAGCUGCACAUGCUUCUGCCAACACCAGCCCGUUUACCAUAUUUUAUAACCCUAGGGCCAGUCCUACUGAAUUUGUUAUCCCAUUUGCCAAAUACCAGAAGGCAAUGUACAGUAAUCAGAUCUCUUUAGGGAUGCGCUUCCGCAUGAUGUGCGAGACGGAGGAACUAGGAACAAGACGCUACAUGGGUACGAUAACUGGAAUAAGUGAUCUAGAUCCAGUGAGAUGGAAAAACUCCCAGUGGCGCAGCUUACAGGUUGGGUGGGACGAGUCGGCUGCAGGAGAAAGAAGGAACAGAGUUUCAAUCUGGGAGAUUGAACCGCUUGCUGCUCCUUUUUUCAUUUGUCCCCAGCCAUUCUUUGGUGUGAAGCGCCCUAGGCAAUUAGAUGACGAGUCGUUGGAGAUGGAAAGUCUUAUGAAGAGAGCAAUGCCUUGGCUUGGUGAGGAGAUAUGCAUAAAGGACCCUCAAACCCAGAGUGCUACAAUGCCUGGCCUGAGUUUGGUUCAGUGGAUGAAUAUGAACCGGCAGCAGAGCUCCUCAUUAGCUAGCACAGCCAUGCAGUCCGAGUACCUCCGAUCAGCGAGUAACCCUGCGAUGCAAAAUAUUGGCGCUGCCGAUCUUGCAAGGCAGUUAUAUAUGCAGAACCAUCUACUACAGCAGAAUAGCAUGCAGUUUAAUCCUCCCAAACUCCAUCAGCAAAUGAAACCUAUUAAUGAUUUGUCAAAUGCAGCACUUCCAUUGAAUCAACUAGGUGCCAUCAGAAAUCACCAAGAUCAGAAGCAAGAUCAGCAGAGGCAACAGCAGUCCGGUAUCCAAGCAAUUCCCCUAAGCCAGGCCCAGGCUCAAACUAAUAUUGUCCAGGCACAGGUAAUUCUCCAGAAUCAGAUGCAGCAACAACAGCAACAAAAACAACCACCACCAUCACCAACUCAAAACCAGCAUGGGGCCAGUGGCCAGCACCUGCUUCAGUCUCAUCAACUGCAGGACCAAAAUUUGCAAAUGCAGCAGCAACAGCUUUUACUUCACCAACAGUUACAGCAGCAGCAGCAGCUAAAUAAGUUGCCUGGGCAGCUAGCUAAUCUGGCAAGUCAGCAAACACAAUUGUCUGAUCAGGAACUCCACUUGCAGCUGUUACAGAAACUACAGCAGCAGUCACUGAUGUCACAGUCCGCAGUUACACUCUCACGAUUACCAAUAAUCCAAGAGCAGCAAAAUUUUCUUGUAGACAUGCAACAGCAGUUGUCGAAUUCGCAUUCGCUUGCCCAGCAACAAGUGAUGCCCCAACAGGACUGCAGAACUUCUUCAUCGCAGACAACACAACUGCCACCGCCCAUUCAGCAAGAGCAGCAACAGCAGAAGCCUUCACAGAAACAGGUUGCACCUACAUAUGUGUCAGAAGCUGCCUUUGCACAGAUCUCUUCUACCAGUGUGAUCCCCAAAACUGGUAACAGUAUGAUAGUUCCGGGUGCUGCACAAUCUGCUGUUACAGAAGAAAUACCUUCUUGUUCGACAUCCCCUUCCACAGCUAAUGGCAACCAUCUUGUGCAGCCAACCAUUGGCAGGAAUGAUCAUUGCAAAAUCAGCACAGAGAAGGUGCCACACUCUAUUGCUCAGAUGUCAAUUCUGACCCCCAUUGAAGCUGUAUCAGUCACUCCAGUAACGACCAAGGAAUUGCCAAAGUUAAACAAUGGUGUUAAGUCAAGUGCGAUCACCUCGAAAUUACCAAAUGUUGUGUCCGGCCUUCAAAAUUUUAUGAACAAUGCACUGCCAACAGACAACCUGGAAACAGCUUCGUCAGCGACUUCAUUAUGGCCUUCACAAACAGAUGGACUUCUGCAUCAAGGUUUCGCCACUUCUAACUUCAACCAGCACCAGAUGUUCAAAGAUGAACUUCCUGAUGUAGAAAUUCAAGGUGUGGAUCCAAGUAACAGUGCCCUCUUUGGGAUGAACAAUGAUGGCCCGUUAGGGUUUCCUAUGGAAACAGAAGGCUUGUUGGAAAAUGCACUUGAUUCUGUGAAGUAUCAGAAUCAUUUCUCAACUGAUGAUGAGAACAACUACCAGAUGCAAAAGGAUGCCCGUCAAGAGAUAUCAACCUCCAUGGUUUCACAGUCAUUUGGUCAAUCAGAUAUGGCUUUUAAUUCCAUCGAUUCUGCAAUUAAUGAUGGUGCCUUAAUGAACAGAAGUUCUUGGCCUCCUGCUGCUCCACCACAGAGGAUGCGUACAUUCACCAAGGUGUACAAGCGUGGAGCUGUAGGCCGGUCCAUUGACAUCGGUAGGUUCUCUGGAUAUGGAGAACUGAAUCAAGCUUUGGCCCGCAUGUUUGGUAUAGAGGGGCAACUUGAAGACCGACAGAGAAUAGGUUGGAAGCUAGUCUACACAGAUCAUGAGGAUGACGUCCUACUUCUCGGCGAUGACCCAUGGGAGGAGUUUGUGAAUUGCGUCAAGUGCAUUAGGAUCCUGUCCCCUCAAGAAGUGCAGAAGAUGAGUCUGGAUGGUGAUUUAGGGAGCAAUGUUCUGCCCAACCAGGCUUGCAGCAGCUCAGAUGGAGGGAAUACUUGGAAGCCUCGUUACGAGCAGAACUCCGGGAACCCUUCCAUCGGCCCCUAUGACCAAUUCGAAUGA
RNAcentral lists this ribosomal RNA (3390 nucleotides) under Triticum aestivum (bread wheat). RNAcentral's name for it is "partial small subunit ribosomal RNA". Lineage: Eukaryota; Viridiplantae; Streptophyta; Magnoliopsida; Poales; Poaceae. The record is from RNAcentral.